UUUUUUUUAUAUAUAUUAGAGGAGCUGGCAGCACCCGAGAAGUGUGUGGGGGACCCCUCUCCAUGCGUGGGACCAGUUGCAAGAGACGCCAUGCUGGAGUUUGAGGAGCCCAUACCUGCUGAGAGAUGAACAGGGAAGCAGGUAAUGGCUUGCCCGAGAAGGUAGGAAUCGGCUGGAGAGAAACAAGAGGAAGGGCAGGCAACGACUGAGGAGGGAACAGGAGAGCAGGUGCUAGCUUUCCGGAUAAGGUAGAGGGUAGCAUGUUCGAGGGUUGCCGGGUGAGAGGCCGGGGAGUUCUGGGAGCAGCUGGGAGAUUGGAGGGGUUUUUGGGGUAGAAAAAAAAAAAUCUGGUGGAAGAAAAAUAGGGGAAGGGAGAAAGGUUGCGGCAGAGAAGAAAAUGAGAGGAAAGAGAAUUAGAGUUGGCUGGAUUUUGGGGCGAGUCUCAUUGAUGGGGAGGUAGUUUCCAGGCAUGAUUAUUAGGUCUCUCAUUUUCCAUUAUUUUCAGAUCUUUUUUAUUUUUAUUUUUUUAUUUUUAUUUAUUUUUAGACGUUAUUUGCUACUUGAUGUUUUUGUUGUUUUUUGAAUAUCAUUAGUUGAUUAAUGUUUGAAGGAGCCAUGUUUUAGCUUUUGCUUAAGUUCAUUCUGAAGUAUUUAACCGUUGUUCUGAGCAUUGAUUUGUUGAUUGGUAUAAAUAUGAAGGGCUAUUUGAUUGUUUUGGCUUAAUCUAAUUUUUUUGUAUACAUACCCUGUUUUGGGUUUUCUUUGUUUUCCCCCCUGCACAAGACCAAUGCAUGGAUUCAUUCAUUUAUUCAUUCUAACUUAAUAUAUAAGAGGCAUGUUUUCUGGUCAUCGUGGUUUUAUUGGCCCCGCCAUAGUUCGCAAGUUCCCACAGCUCGGAUUUGUAAAUCUCCC
Molecule: long non-coding RNA, 912 nt
Filed under: Vitis vinifera (wine grape)
Lineage: Eukaryota; Viridiplantae; Streptophyta; Magnoliopsida; Vitales; Vitaceae
Description: long non-coding RNA (VVIN_LNC004610)
Source: RNAcentral